GCUAGUGUAGCUUAAAUCAAAGCAUAACACUGAAGAUGUUAAGAUGAACCCUAAAAAGUCCCACAAGCA
This 69-nucleotide transfer RNA is filed under the name Cynoglossus joyneri (red tonguesole). RNAcentral describes it as "tRNA-Phe". It matches the Rfam family "tRNA". Rfam says of the family: Transfer RNA (tRNA) molecules are approximately 80 nucleotides in length. Their secondary structure includes four short double-helical elements and three loops (D, anti-codon, and T loops). Lineage: Eukaryota; Metazoa; Chordata; Actinopteri; Pleuronectiformes; Cynoglossidae. The record is from RNAcentral.